GAUGAACGCUGACAGAAUGCUUAACACAUGCAAGUCUUUGGCGAAGCUGUGCUUGCACAGCCUAGCCAAGGCGGACGGGUGAGUAACGCGUAAGGAACUUGCCCUGCAGUCAGGGAUAACAGACGGAAACGACUGAUAAGACCUGGUAAAGUCAGGCGGACUCAUGUCCAGCCUGAUGAAAAGAGAUGCUGCAGGUGAGCCUUGCGUCCUAUUAGCUUGUUGGUGGGGUAACGGCCCACCAAGGCGAUGAUAGGUAGCCGGCCUGAGAGGGUGGACGGCCACAAGGGGACUGAGAUACGGACCUUACUCCUACGGGAGGCAGCAGUGGGGAAGAUUGGACAAUGGGGGCAACCCUGAUCCAGCAAUUCGGUGUGCACGAUGAAGGUUUUCGGAUUGUAAAGUGCUUUCAGCAGGGAAGAAAAAAUGACGGUACCUGCAGAAGAAGCGACGGCUAAAUACGUG
RNAcentral lists this ribosomal RNA (462 nucleotides) under uncultured bacterium. RNAcentral's name for it is "partial 16S ribosomal RNA". It matches the Rfam family "Bacterial small subunit ribosomal RNA", at positions 28 to 507 of the family's 1533-position model. The record is from RNAcentral.